RNAcentral lists this ribosomal RNA (385 nucleotides) under uncultured bacterium. RNAcentral describes it as "bacterial SSU rRNA". It matches the Rfam family "Bacterial small subunit ribosomal RNA", at positions 28 to 409 of the family's 1533-position model. The record is from RNAcentral.
GACGAACGCUGGCGGCGUGCUUAAUACAUGCAAGUCAACUGAACUCGAAGUAGCAAUAUUUUGAGGGAGGUGGCGCACGGGUGAGUAACACGUAGGUAAUCUGCCUUUAGGUCUGACACAACCUACCGAAAGGUAGGCUAAUUUCAGAUGAUGCAGCGGCUCGACAUCGAGACAGUUGUUAAAUCUUCGGAGCCUAAAGAUGAGCCUGCGUCUGAUUAGGUAGUUGGCGGGGUAAAAGCCCACCAAGCCUGCGAUCAGUAGCUGGUCUGAGAGGAUGAUCAGCCACACUGGAACUGAGACACGGGUCCAGACUCCUACGGGAGGCAGCAGUAAGGAAUAUUGCUCAAUGGCCGAAAGGCUGAAGCAGCAACGCCGCGUGGAGGAU